RNAcentral lists this small RNA (39 nucleotides) under Arabidopsis thaliana (thale cress). Its description in RNAcentral is "ATSL262360". The record is from RNAcentral. Lineage: Eukaryota; Viridiplantae; Streptophyta; Magnoliopsida; Brassicales; Brassicaceae.
UUCUUAUGCGAGUAUGCAAGAACUUGGCCAAUCAAAAAA